Molecule: long non-coding RNA, 232 nt
Filed under: Elaeis guineensis (African oil palm)
Lineage: Eukaryota; Viridiplantae; Streptophyta; Magnoliopsida; Arecales; Arecaceae
Description: long non-coding RNA (EGUI_LNC077372)
Source: RNAcentral
CAGAUAUUAAAUGCGUGUUGGAAAGUGAUUGGAUAAAAAUACUCCUCUCAUAUUAUGAUAUCUUAGGCCAUAUUAUGACAUCCUGGACUAUAUUACGUCACAGGAUAUCAUAAUUUUUUUUUAAAUAAAGAUAUUUUUAUCAUAUAAAAUUUUUAAAUAAAAAAUUUGAUAUAUUAAUAUUAAAUAUAUGUUGAAAAAUAAUGAUUAUAUGGAUCAAUUAACUGAGAUGAUG